ACGAACGCUGGCGGCGUGCCUAAUACAUGCAAGUCGAGCGAAGUUUUUCUGGUGCUUGCACUAGCAAAACUUAGCGGCGAACGGGUGAGUAACACGUAAAGAACCUGCCUCAUAGACUGGGACAACUAUUGGAAACGAUAGCUAAUACCGGAUAACAGUAUUUCUCGCAUGAGAGAUAUUUAAAAGUUGGUUAUGCUAACACUAUGAGAUGGCUUUGCGGUGCAUUAGCUAGUUGGUGGGGUAAAGGCCCACCAAGGCGACGAUGCAUAGCCGACCUGAGAGGGUGAUCGGCCACACUGGGACUGAGACACGGCCCAGACUCCUACGGGAGGCAGCAGUAGGGAAUCUUCCGCAAUGGGCGAAAGCCUGACGGAGCAACGCCGCGUGAGUGAAGAAGGAUUUCGGUUCGUAAAGCUCUGUUGUUAGGGAAGAAUGGAUAUGUAGUAACUAUACAUGUAAGAGACGGUACCUAACCAGAAAGCCACGGCUAACUACGUG
Molecule: ribosomal RNA, 498 nt
Filed under: uncultured bacterium
Lineage: Bacteria
Description: partial 16S ribosomal RNA
Rfam family: Bacterial small subunit ribosomal RNA
Source: RNAcentral